AACAGUUCCCCUUGGAAACAACUUUGUUGAAACGUUGACUCACUUGUGCAUCAUUUCCAUAUAUAGUUUGUUAGCGUUAAAUUAAUCAGGAAUUUUGUGUAAAUCUGACUUGCCUUUCUCGUCCCGCUCGGAUAACUUUAGUCAACGUUUGGUAUGGGUGUAAUUUGGACAAAUUCAGAUAGAUCCUUCUCGACUUUGUUCCGUGUAUGUUUUGCAACAUAAUUGGCGUAAUCUGUUGCAGUGUCUGAUCUCAGGCUAACAUCCUCCUGUCCUCGGCUGGAUUUCCCAAAAGCAUCAUAGUACUAAAAUAAUCUUAAUUCCAUUGAAAUUAAAUGAACGAAAGAUGAUUGCAGUGCUACGAUGCUUUUGGGAUAACAAGCUCUGGUCUGGGCAUCAUUUCUGCCACCUGCAGGAGGAGGUUGAAGCUGCACGAUCAAGUUAAACUUGCUCUUCUCCUCACCUGCCCCAACAACUGUACCAACAGCCAACAUGCCCCGUUUCCUACUGUCGAAGCCAAGAGAAGACCAUCAUGACGACAGAAGAGGUUCACCUACAGGUACUGCUGUCUCCCUUGGCCUCCCAGGUGUCCCAUCCAGAGAACAUGGAAGAUUAUUUAUUUAUUUAACGAAAGGACGUACUCCGCUCUGCCACCAAGGCAUUCAGCUGGAAACGAUUCAACCUCAGAGGUUCAAUGUGAGGGGUCAGUCGACCAACAUGGUCAAACACAGGAGUUCCUUCAGCUGUUGAUGGCAGCCAUCCGAGACUGUUGUUUGUUCCAGGGGCCAGACUACUGCAAAAGCCUAAUAUUGGACUAGUAUUGUAAGAUCGCACUGUUUAUAUGUUCAAAUAUGUUCAAAUAUGACACUUUCUAUCUAGUCCUAGAACUCUGUCCUGUUGUAUCACUUUCAGUGUAGUCCUAGCAGAGUGAACUAUAAGGUCCUAUAUGCUAUAUUACUACAUAGAUAGGUGGCCUCUUAUGCGCUGUCCAUAGUAACCCCCCCCCCCAAAAAAAAACAAAUGAAUUAAUAUGGUGGUAUUAACUUGUACCAUGUUUUAGUUUUAGCGUGGGAUAAUGUACAGGCUGGUAGAGAACAUGAUCAGUGUCUGAGUGGUGAGAUAUGGCCCCACUCCCUGUCCAGGAGAACAUUUGACAUGAUCUGUGGUCUUCCGUCUGCUCCUGUGGCCCUGGAUGAGAUUACACAUCAGGAAAUACGAGCCAGGCUGGAGAAGGCACGUGACAUGUUCACGUGUUCUUUGCCGUAUAUAUUGGUUUGUGUAUGUAGCCUGAGCCCUGGGCUUGUACUCACAUAGCUUCUCAGACUAGGAGUGUUGAUCUUGGACCAGGUCCUUCCUGUACAUACAGGCAACUGCAAAAAUAAAGGAAACGCCAAUAAUAAGUGUCUUAAUAGGGCGUUGGGGGCACCACGAGCCAGAACAGCUUCAGUGCACCGUGGCAUAGAUUCUACAAGUGUCUGGAACUCUGUUGGAGGGAUACAACACCCUUCUUCCAUGAGAAAUUCCAUAAUUUGGUGUUUUGUUGAUUGUGGUGGAAAAUGCUGUCUCAGGCUCCGCUCCAGAAUCUUCCAUAAGUGUUCAAUUGGGUUGAGAUCUGGUGACUGAGACGGACACAUCAUAUGGCUUACAUUGUUUUCAUGCUCAUCAAACCAUUCAGUGAUCACUCGUGCCCUAUGGAUGGGGCAUUGUCAUCCUAUGGGGGCAAAGCCAUUGUAGCAAAAAUAAUGGCCUGCCCAGCAUUGUUAUACAUGACACUAAGCAUGAUGGGAUGUUAAUUACUUAAUUAACUCUGGAAGCACCUGCUCUCAAUCUACUUUUUAUCCCUCUUUUACUCAAGUGAGAGUAUUUAAACUUUUUGUAUUGUUUGUUGGUUUGGCAAUGCCACUGCCUGAGAAAUAUGCUGAGAAGGAUUAUCACCACAGCAAGCAAGGUACUUGGAGUCAAACAGACAGGCCUUGAUGAGAUCUUUAAGGUCAGGGCCCUCCACAAGGCUCACAAAAUAAUUUUGGACCCAAGCCACCCCCUGUACCCGGACUUUGAACUACUCCCCUCUGGGCACAGGUAUAGGGCACCCCUCAGCAGGAAAAACAGAACUAGACAAUCAUAUGUGCCAGGUGUGAUAUCUCUCCUAAAUAGCUCGGGCUAAUGUUCCUAUCGACUGACAAUAAAGUCAGUAAGUAAGUAAGUGUUUCCUUUUUUUGUCAGUGACCUGUAUACUCUUAUUCAUUAUGAUCUAAAAUGGGAAACUGAUCCUAGAUAAGCACUCCUCUGAAAUGCUUUGUGAGUACAGGCCUGGGGUUUUGAUGUGCAUUGUGAUAUCUCCUCAUGUCAUUCAACCCACAACCCUGGAGGCUGCUAGUGAGGUCAUGGAGGAAGAGUCUUCAAUCCUGCGUCCGCUGGGGGUCCUCGGCCCUGUCCAGACAUGGGAGGAAAGGGAAGACAUUGUGCGGUUUGCUGCGAGGGGCUAUUUGGAUGUUUGGUUGUCAUGUGGACCAGAGGACUGGCUACUCUGGACUUGCUAGAGGCAUCCUGCUGUAUUCAAGCAGAUGUUACUAGCCAGACCUCUCUCUGCAGUAGACCUCCUCACGCUCUUCCACGUGAACUUCUCAGCCCCCGGUAGUGAUGAGAGAAUAGCUGAGGACAUAACGUAUGGCUACUGGAGGGACUGGCUUAUUGGGGUGGAGUGGAUGUGAGUCUCUCACCGUCAAGAAGCUUCUGGUCUUCGUGUCUGGCCGGGGGGGGGGGGGGGGCACACUGGGCUUCCCCACACAGCCCACCAUGGAGUUCCUGCACACUCGGGGGGGGGGGAGAGACAGGUGUUCUCCACGCUGUACCUUGCACUCUCGUCCUCCGUCUCCCAGUCCACUCCUCAUAUCAGCAGUUCAAGGAGUCCAUGAUCUCAGACAUACUCCAGACUUAGGAGUCCAUGACCUCAGACAUACUCCAGACAUAGGAGUCCAUGACCUCAGACAUACUCCAGACUUAGGAGUCCAUGACCUCAGACAUACUCCAGACUUAGGAGUCCAUGACCUCAGACAUACUCCAGACAUAGGAGUCCAUGACCUCAAACAUACUCCAGGCGAAGGAGUCCAUGACCUCAGAAAGUACUCCAGAGGAGUCCAUGACCCCAGAAAGUACUCCAGAUGUAGAGGAGUCCAUGACCUCAGGCGUACUCCCAGACACUCAUGUUGGCUUGAGAAGCCUCACUAGAGAAACCAGGUAGACUAAGACAGUGAGCAGGUCAAUGCCUCAGACGUCUAAGAACAAGACGGCUGUUUGGUCCUUGCAACAUGUGUCCCUCCAGUUAAAGAUCAGGUGUCAGUCUGACUGUUUCUUCAUUGUCUUCAUUAACUCUGCAUUAUCUCUGGGCAGUUCCAGGUUCACUAUCUACGGUAUGUGAAGUUUAUCCAGGGUGGUCCUCCUGAGAAACAAACUACAGACACAAAACAAGAUGCUGUCACCUUCACCCUGACUCGGGGUUCCGUUCUGGAACACUUUGUUGUUGACACAUCUGAUGUGCUAAAGUUCUGUAGAUAAUAGCCCCUGUGCCAGAGGGCCAAAGAGGGAUCCACAUGUUCCAGCUUAUUGAUUACUGCUUUGGUGACUAACUUUUAUUCCUGGCUGUGAUUAGUACAUUUGUUAUAGUGCCUGUCUUUUAUUCCUGGCUGUGUUUGUGUCGGUCAGAAGUACUCAGUGGCUUUUCCAUGUCACUUACGUAAUUCUGAUUAUGUAAAUAGUUAAGCAACGAUGUGAAUAUCACCAUAUUACCCACAUUAAACCACAACACAGACCUCCAAAUAAAUGAACUUGAAGUCA
Salvelinus fontinalis (brook trout) is the source of this 3831-nucleotide long non-coding RNA. RefSeq lists it as uncharacterized. NCBI's taxonomy places the organism in Eukaryota, Metazoa, Chordata, Actinopteri, Salmoniformes, Salmonidae. The record is from RefSeq and is a predicted model, not a curated record. The transcript has 5 exons.